CACGUAGGGUGCGAGCGUUGUCCGGAAUUAUUGGGCGUAAAGAGCUCGUAGGCGGUGUGUCGCGUCGGCCGUGAAAACCUGCAGCUUAACUGUGGGCUUGCGGUCGAUACGGGCAUCACUGGAGUUCGGCAGGGGAGACUGGAAUUCCUGGUGUAGCGGUGAAAUGCGCAGAUAUCAGGAGGAACACCGGUGGCGAAGGCGGUUCUCUGGGCAUUACCUGACGCUGAGGAGCGAAAGUGUGGGGAGCGAACAGG
RNAcentral lists this ribosomal RNA (254 nucleotides) under uncultured bacterium. RNAcentral describes it as "partial 16S ribosomal RNA". It matches the Rfam family "Bacterial small subunit ribosomal RNA", at positions 524 to 776 of the family's 1533-position model. The record is from RNAcentral.